CAUUUUCGAAGCCUCUAGUGUUCUAGAACAGAGACUUGCACAGAGUAAACAGCCAGUGCCUAAAUGUAUUUACUGAGACACAUGUAGGGGUUGCCACCUAUCGACCACAGAGGUCAAACCUUCAAAAGACUGGCAGGCUCAAACGCUUGCGCCCAAAGAUCUGGGUCUUCUCGCCAGGUUGAGAGCGUGAAGAAGAGAAAACAUCCAGCUUGAGUCGGAAAUAAGAACGUAAGCAAGGAAGCUAAAAAUAAACAGCAAUGGGGGAUUUCCUCAAUUCAGGCAGGCUGUGACAGCACCAGGUGUCAUGCAGCUCUGUGAGGCGAAGAAGAGGAAUGCAUUUAGAAGGUUUGAUGAGGGGGGGAUUCUAUCACUGCCUGAAAAGCCUGAGGGAACAAGUGACAUGGGAUUUUCCCAGGACAGGAGGGAGAUAUUCCCUCUCCCCCUCCCCCCACCCCUUACCUCUCUGGGCAACGUGACUUCUUUCUUACUUCCGGGUACAAUCAGCUCACGCAUCCCUGAGGCAGUCCAGGCCGCUGAGGGUCACGCACAGUCUGCACCGGACACUCGGGCCCUCGGAGGGGCUGCUGGGAAUGGCGCGGCCCACAACGACUUCCGGUGUGGCUUCGGGGUGGCUUCCGGACACAGAGUCAUUACCCGGAUAUUAACAGAAUGACCUUUAGAAUCCGUAGUGGGUUUCAAAGCUCUUUAGCUGUAGAAGCCUCACAGAAUUUUUUUUUUUUAUUAUUUUUUAAGAUUUUAUUUAUUUAGUCAUGAGAGACACAGAAAGGAGAGAGAGAGAGGCAGGGACACAGGCAGAGGGAGAAGCAGGCUCCAUGCGGGGAGUCCGAUGUGGGCCUCCAACCCGGUCUCCAGGAUCCCGCCCUGGGCUGAAGGCAGGCGCUAAAUCCCUGGGCCAUCCCGGGCGGCCUACCUCACAGAAUUUUAUGCAAAGUGCAGGAGGUGAGACAGAAAGGCGACUCCUGGUUGAAGCCCAGGCCCAUGACUGGCUUCUGCCUCCUGCGCUGGCCAGAAGUCGUUUCCCAGAAAGCCUUGCGGGUCCCGUGGGGCGGGGCUGCUGCUGUCCUGCAGGCCCCCUGCUCGCUUGCCUCAGAGCGCCGUGGAGCCAUGGUUUGCUCUAGACCUCUCGCAUACACACCAGAUCGAGGCCCAAGGUGAUGUGAGUGGCACGACGUCAAGAAAUCAGUAACAAAGACUUUGGAAUCAGAGUCCUAUGUUCAAACUAUACAUCUGAGACUGAAUAAGGCUUGUGACCAUAGUGUGGCAGGAGCAAAGCUUGGGGUCUGAGAAGUAGUUUUGUCUGCUGGUGUUCCAAACCGCUUGGUUACAAGUUUGUUACCUGCAGUGGCAAAGAGGUCGCUGUGAUAUGAGCCAGAACUCAGAUACCUAUCCUACCUCAAGUGCCAAGUCCUUGUGCAUCCACCCUCCUGCAAGAUUCUGUUGUUUAAAAGUUGUCUGCUAUUGGACUUAAUGUUCAGCACCCCCUCUAGUGAGAUGACUUCUUACUGUUAGAGACCACCCACCUUCCUUCCCAUGCAAGUGUCCAAGCUGGAAGAAUUAGACAGUUGACUCUAGACCCUGGAUAUCUGUGUAUCCGAAUUGUACUUCAAGGUGUCAACAUAGAGAAAAAGAGGAGAGAAGUUAAUAGAAUUGUCUUGAUGAUUUAGGUCAAGACUAAUGACAAAAUUUUUAUGGUGAUGGUAAGCAAUGUUGUGCCCAGUAAGGAUGAAUGUAUCUUUUGAUGGAAUUCUCUAGAUUAUGAUAUAUUUCUCUUUGAAAUGCAGCCCAAGAUUGUAAAAGAGACAGGGGACUCAUAGAUUUCACACUGACAUCCUUCAUUUCUCUCUCACUGGAUAAAACAUUACAAGUGUUGAUGGGUUUUCAUUGGAUUUUCACAAAAUUUGAAGGUAGCAUCCACCUGGGGGAAGAGUGUCCUCAGUUGAAAAUUAGCAAAUGUGUUUCUUCAGCUACUGCUUGACAAGUUCCCAUUUAACCUUCCUUGUGUUAAAGAUCUGUUGUGACUAUUUUCUUGUUUAGCAGAUAACAUAAACACAAACUCUGAACAGAAGAGGAACCUCCCAUUGAUAGGCUAAACAGGCACUGUGCCAGAUGCCUGAUAUAUGGACAUUUUUAAAAGAGAAGUAUGGUCUAGUACAAGGUCAACAAACUUUUUCUGCCCAGGACCAGAUUUUGCGAAUCAAGAGGUAAAUCAAGGAUAUUAUACAGAGUGUUUCAUGGUGAUCCUGGGACAAUAGCAUUGGACAUCACUUGAGUUGGAGGAAGAUGAUUCUUAAAAAUCCAUAUUCUAGGUCCUGCCACAGACCCAAUGGAUCAGAAUCUACAAGGAACUUGAAAUCUACAUUUUGAGCAGCAUUCCAAUGAAUCUUAGAUACAUUGAAAUAAAAAAAAAAAAAGAUAUUUUUUUCCUUGAGCACUGAAGUCUGGGGAUAGAAAGAGCUGGCACUCUGGA
Molecule: long non-coding RNA, 2488 nt
Organism: Canis lupus familiaris (dog)
Lineage: Eukaryota; Metazoa; Chordata; Mammalia; Carnivora; Canidae
Exons: 7
Source: RefSeq, a predicted model, not a curated record